Molecule: long non-coding RNA, 275 nt
Filed under: Hordeum vulgare
Lineage: Eukaryota; Viridiplantae; Streptophyta; Magnoliopsida; Poales; Poaceae
Description: long non-coding RNA (HVUL_LNC011751)
Source: RNAcentral
UUUUAAUGUUGAAUUUUCAAAAAGUUUUAUCUCUUGAACUAUAAAUCCAAUUGACGAUCCAUUUUCACCGUUAGCUUUCUCGAAACGAGAUCUUUAAAACUAGAUCCCAUGUCGACAUGUUUCGACAACUUUUUUUUCAUUGAUAGUUGUCAGAUUACUAUUACUUAGUUGUUAGAUUAUGAGACACUUAGUAGCCAUAUUUAAUUAACCUAGUUGUCAACUUGGCAACUAUGUGUAUAGAUUUCUGUCAGCUAUGCUUGUUUAAACCCGACGAC